Molecule: ribosomal RNA, 497 nt
Filed under: uncultured bacterium
Lineage: Bacteria
Description: partial 16S ribosomal RNA
Rfam family: Bacterial small subunit ribosomal RNA
Source: RNAcentral
GAUGAACGCUGGCGGCGUGCCUAAUACAUGCAAGUCGAGCGAACAGAUGAGGAGCUUGCUCCUCUGACGUUAGCGGCGGACGGGUGAGUAACACGUGGAUAACCUACCUAUAAGACUGGGAUAACUUCGGGAAACCGGAGCUAAUACCGGAUAAUAUAUUGAACCGCAUGGUUCAAUAGUGAAAGACGGUUUUGCUGUCACUUAUAGAUGGAUCCGCGCCGCAUUAGCUAGUUGGUAAGGUAACGGCUUAUCAAGGCAACGAUGCGUAGCCGACCUGAGAGGGUGAUCGGCCACACUGGAACUGAGACACGGACCAGACUCCUACGGGAGGCAGCAGUAGGGAAUCUUCCGCAAUGGGCGAAAGCCUGACGGAGCAACGCCGCGUGAGUGAUGAAGGUCUUCGGAUCGUAAAACUCUGUUAUUAGGGAAGAACAAAUGUGUAAGUAACUAUGCACGUCUUGACGGUACCGAAUCAGAAAGCCACGGCUAACUACGUG